AUUGAACGCUGGCGGCAGGCCUAACACAUGCAAGUCGAACGGUAACAGGAAGAAGCUUGCUUCUUUGCUGACGAGUGGCGGACGGGUGAGUAAUGUCUGGGAAACUGCCUGAUGGAGGGGGAUAACUACUGGAAACGGUAGCUAAUACCGCAUAACGUCGCACGACCAAAGAGGGGGACCUUCGGGCCUCUUGCCAUCGGAUGUGCCCAGAUGGGAUUAGCUAGUAGGUGGUGUAACGGCUCACCUAGGCGACGAUCCCUAGCUGGUCUGAGAGGAUGACCAGCCACACUGGAACUGAGACACGGUCCAGACUCCUACGGGAGGCAGCAGUGGGGAAUAUUGCACAAUGGGCGCAAGCCUGAUGCAGCCAUGCCGCGUGUAUGAAGAAGGCCUUCUGGUUGUAAAGUACUUUAAGCGGGGAGGAAGGGAGUAAAGUUAAUACCUUUGCUCAUUGACGUUACCCGCAGAAGAAGCACCGGCUAACUCCGUG
This 490-nucleotide ribosomal RNA is filed under the name uncultured bacterium. Its description in RNAcentral is "partial 16S ribosomal RNA". It matches the Rfam family "Bacterial small subunit ribosomal RNA", at positions 30 to 507 of the family's 1533-position model. The record is from RNAcentral.